AUACUUACCUGGCAGGGGAGAUACCAUGAUCAUGAAGGUGGUUUUCCCAGUCUGAGGCUUAUCCAUUGCACUCCGGAUGUGCUGACCCCUGCAAUUUCCCCAAAUGUGGCAAACUCGACUGCAUGAUUUGUGGUAGUGGGGGACUGUGUUCGCGCUUUCCCCUG
This 164-nucleotide small nuclear RNA is filed under the name Aotus nancymaae (Ma's night monkey). RNAcentral's name for it is "U1 spliceosomal RNA (ENSANAG00000017898.1)". It matches the Rfam family "U1 spliceosomal RNA". From Rfam's summary of the family: U1 is a small nuclear RNA (snRNA) component of the spliceosome (involved in pre-mRNA splicing). Its 5' end forms complementary base pairs with the 5' splice junction, thus defining the 5' donor site of an intron. Lineage: Eukaryota; Metazoa; Chordata; Mammalia; Primates; Aotidae. The record is from Rfam by way of RNAcentral.